RNAcentral lists this ribosomal RNA (465 nucleotides) under Vreelandella stevensii. Its description in RNAcentral is "partial 16S ribosomal RNA". It matches the Rfam family "Bacterial small subunit ribosomal RNA", at positions 338 to 795 of the family's 1533-position model. The record is from RNAcentral. Lineage: Bacteria; Pseudomonadati; Pseudomonadota; Gammaproteobacteria; Oceanospirillales; Halomonadaceae.
CCUACGGGAGGCUGCAGUGGGGAAUAUUGGACAAUGGGGGCAACCCUGAUCCAGCCAUGCCGCGUGUGUGAAGAAGGCCCUCGGGUUGUAAAGCACUUUCAGUGAGGAAGAACGCCUGGUGGUUAAUACCCAUCAGGAAAGACAUCACUCACAGAAGAAGCACCGGCUAACUCCGUGCCAGCAGCCGCGGUAAUACGGAGGGUGCGAGCGUUAAUCGGAAUUACUGGGCGUAAAGCGCGCGUAGGUGGCUUGAUAAGCCGGUUGUGAAAGCCCCGGGCUCAACCUGGGAACGGCAUCCGGAACUGUCAAGCUAGAGUGCAGGAGAGGAAGGUAGAAUUCCCGGUGUAGCGGUGAAAUGCGUAGAGAUAGGGAGGAAUACCAGUGGCGAAGGCGGCCUUCUGGACUGACACUGACACUGAGGUGCGAAAGCGUGGGUAGCAAACAGGAUUAGAUACCCGGGUAGUC